Molecule: small nuclear RNA, 23 nt
Filed under: Arabidopsis thaliana (thale cress)
Lineage: Eukaryota; Viridiplantae; Streptophyta; Magnoliopsida; Brassicales; Brassicaceae
Description: snRNA_14897
Source: RNAcentral
CAAGGAUCUUAAGUAAGCUUAAG